GACGAACGCUGGCGGCGUGCUUAACACAUGCAAGUCGAACGGAAAGGCCCUGCUUUUGUGGGGUGCUCGAGUGGCGAACGGGUGAGUAACACGUGAGUAACCUGCCCUUGACUUUGGGAUAACUUCAGGAAACUGGGGCUAAUACCGGAUAGGAGCUCCUGCUGCACGGUGGGGGUUGGAAAGUUUCGGCGGUUGGGGAUGGACUCGCGGCUUAUCAGCUUGUUGGUGGGGUAGUGGCUUACCAAGGCUUUGACGGGUAGCCGGCCUGAGAGGGUGACCGGCCACAUUGGGACUGCGAUACGGCCCAGACUCCUACGGGAGGCAGCAGUGGGGAAUAUUGCACAAUGGGCGGAAGCCUGAUGCAGCAGCGCCGCGUGCGGGAUGACGGCCUUCGGGCUGUAAACCGCUUUCGCCUGUGACGAAGCGUGAGUGACGGUAAUGGGUAAAGAAGCACCGGCUAACUACGUG
This 468-nucleotide ribosomal RNA is filed under the name uncultured bacterium. RNAcentral's name for it is "partial 16S ribosomal RNA". It matches the Rfam family "Bacterial small subunit ribosomal RNA", at positions 28 to 507 of the family's 1533-position model. The record is from RNAcentral.